Molecule: RNase P RNA, 338 nt
Filed under: Spirochaeta africana DSM 8902
Lineage: Bacteria; Pseudomonadati; Spirochaetota; Spirochaetia; Spirochaetales; Spirochaetaceae
Description: Bacterial RNase P class A
Rfam family: Bacterial RNase P class A
About the family: Ribonuclease P (RNase P) is a ubiquitous endoribonuclease, found in archaea, bacteria and eukarya as well as chloroplasts and mitochondria. Its best characterised activity is the generation of mature 5'-ends of tRNAs by cleaving the 5'-leader elements of precursor-tRNAs.
Source: Rfam by way of RNAcentral
GUGUCGGGCCGUGCCGUCGCCAGCCUGCUGGCUGGAGGAAAGUCCGGGCUUCGCAGAGCACAGCACCGGGUAGUUCCCGGGCGCAUCUCCGGAUGCGACAGAGAGUGCCACAGAAAAUAUACCGCCGCUUUGCGGUAAGGGUGAAAUGGUGAGGUAAGAGCUCACCGGGAAACCGGCAACGGUUUCUGUCCUGGUAAACCUUGCUGGAAGCAAAAUUAAGCAGUGGAUUCGGCUGCUCGCCGGGUAUCCGCGGGUAAAUUGCUGGACCCUGCAGGCAACUGCAGGGCUAGAUUGAUGACGGCAGUAAACAGAACCCGGCUUACCGGCCCGAUUUCCAU